ACCAAGGAUUCGCGAAGGGCGCGCAGGUUUGCUAAACCUGUUCCGCUACGCGGAUCGUGGGUUCGAAUCCCACCCUCGGCGC
RNAcentral lists this transfer RNA (82 nucleotides) under Methanosaeta sp. PtaU1.Bin060. RNAcentral's name for it is "tRNA-Ser". The stretch from base 12 to 81 matches the Rfam family "tRNA". From Rfam's summary of the family: Transfer RNA (tRNA) molecules are approximately 80 nucleotides in length. Their secondary structure includes four short double-helical elements and three loops (D, anti-codon, and T loops). Lineage: Archaea; Methanobacteriati; Methanobacteriota; Methanomicrobia; Methanotrichales; Methanotrichaceae. The record is from RNAcentral.